GGUGAAGAAAAGGUGACAAAAGUUCAGGAUGUUGAGAUAAGGCACUGGAGAAGUUCAGGCUUAGGAAUUGGGAAAAGCAAACCUGGCUGCUCCUGAGUCCUGACGCCCCGAUUCCUGCUCAUCAGAAGUUUCCAUUGCAGCCUUCCUCCCCCAGAGGUUUCCCCCCAUCAGAAGUGGCCUAGCUGUGAUGGAUUGGCAUCCUGUAUCACGCCUUACUCUCAGGCAGCCUUCACAAGCGCCCACCUCCCCCACCGUUUUCUGCUGGCAUUCAAAGCAAGAAUUCAUCAGCAAGCCAUGCCAAGAUUUUCAUCGACUGGCCUUCGGAAGUUCUAGCACAAGAAUUUGUCCAACCACCCAGAAAAAGUCUGCAAAAAAUAACAAAGACUUGGUGAAAAUAAAGAGAUGUACAGCCGUCAUUAAAUGUUGUGCUUCAAGAAACUAAUUAUUCGAUACAUUCUUGUGUUAGAUAAUCAGAAAUUUGUAUUUUUGGAAAUGAUCAUAAUAUUAAAAUACAUUUUGUUGUUUUGUUUUGCUUUAAGUGUCCUUUUUCCAAGUGUCCGAUGCUCCUGUCAUGCAGGUGGCAUUUAGGAAGAGUAUAUUCUGUGAAGCCCAGUGCCAGAUUUAUCUACUUUAUUGACUGGCCUUUUGAAGAUACAAUAGUUUUAAUGAUUUUAAUGGUGCUCUAACCUAUAACCUUGUGAACAUAAUUUAAACAAAUCAGAUUAAGAAAUUUGCUUUAGAUUUCAUUCUAUGUUCACACCGAGCAGCAUGAGUUCAAGUGACCACUUCCAAGGAAACACGCAUAUGCACAUAUCUGGCAUUUGUGUUCAAAACUCUCAUAUUCACAUAUCCCUACGCAGGUUUUUACAUCUGUUUAAAUGUAUGUGCAGCCAUUUAGCACGCAUUUAAAGUUAACCCUGUUGAACUUUGACCCAACCAGGCAUUGGGGUUUGGUAGUAACAUAUGAUUAACGUCCUCCACUAAACAUUUCAGACCUACAAUGAACAUGUUUCUGUAUCUCAAAAUG
Long non-coding RNA from Oryzias melastigma (Indian medaka), 1027 nucleotides. RefSeq lists it as uncharacterized. The record is from RefSeq and is a predicted model, not a curated record. The transcript is spliced from 3 exons. NCBI's taxonomy places the organism in Eukaryota, Metazoa, Chordata, Actinopteri, Beloniformes, Adrianichthyidae.